CGCACAUUGCGCCCCUUGGUAUUCCAUGGGGCAUGCCUAUUCGAGCGUCAUUUAACAAUUCAAGCUCUGCUUGGUGUUGGGCACUGUCUAUCGCGACUUGCCUCAAAUCUACUGGACAUUGGACUGAUAGACUAAGCGCAGUACAACUCGCACUUUGAUAUUGGCUCCCUUUGCCAUUACUCUAUAAUUUGACCUCGGAUUAGGUAGGGAUACCCGCUGAACUUAA
RNAcentral lists this unclassified non-coding RNA (226 nucleotides) under Pleosporales sp. RNAcentral's name for it is "partial contains 5.8S ribosomal RNA, internal transcribed spacer 2, and large subunit ribosomal RNA". The record is from RNAcentral. Lineage: Eukaryota; Fungi; Ascomycota; Dothideomycetes; Pleosporales.